This 480-nucleotide ribosomal RNA is filed under the name uncultured bacterium. Its description in RNAcentral is "bacterial SSU rRNA". It matches the Rfam family "Bacterial small subunit ribosomal RNA", at positions 28 to 508 of the family's 1533-position model. The record is from RNAcentral.
GAUGAACGCUGGCGGCGUGCUUAACACAUGCAAGUCGAACGAAGCUGUUGUUUGGAGACCUUCGGGUGGAAGAAUAACAGACUGAGUGGCGGACGGGUGAGUAACGCGUGGGUAACCUACCUUGCACAGGGGGACAACAGUUGGAAACGACUGCUAAUACCGCAUAAGACCACAGUACCGCAUGGUACAGGGGUAAAAACUGAGGUGGUGCAAGAUGGACCCGCGUCUGAUUAGCUAGUUGGUGGGGUAAAGGCCUACCAAGGCGACGAUCAGUAGCCGACCUGAGAGGGUGAUCGGCCACAUUGGGACUGAGACACGGCCCAAACUCCUACGGGAGGCAGCAGUGGGGAAUAUUGGACAAUGGGGGGAACCCUGAUCCAGCGACGCCGCGUGAGUGAAGAAGUAUUUCGGUAUGUAAAGCUCUAUCAGCAGGGAAGAAAAUGACGGUACCUGACUAAGAAGCCCCGGCUAACUACGUGC